AUGUUGACGGUAGGAGCCUCCCAUGCAGUAGCAAAGCCCCACUGUGAGAUGACAAAGCCAGACCAUGAAGUCACAAGGCCAGGCAUUCAUGUGCAGUGUGGGGCAGGUGCCACAGGCAUCACUCCAGCAGCUGCAGGAGCAGCAGCAGUGUCAGCAGAGCCUGCACUGACAGUGCCAGCAGUGCCAGUGCCUGCAGUACCUGUAGUGCCUGCAGUGACAGUGAUGGUGACAACAGUGAGCAGUGACAGUGCCAGCAGUGGCAGUUCCAGCAGUACCAGCUGUGCCAGCAGCAGCAGUGACAGCAUGGUGCAGGCGCGGUGGGCCCUGGCCCUCAUCCUCCUCCUGGUGGCCCUGCCAGCCAGGGGUGUCGGGGCUGCUCCGUGGCGACCAUGGGCAGUGGCUCUGGAGCGUGAGCCUGUGGAUAAGAAGGCACCUCAGGAAGACCAUCAGGCAGUGCCAGUCCCCGGGGAAAACACCGGGGCCGUUCAGCCAACAGGAGUGUCAGGUCCAGAGUAUCAAGAUGGAAGGGGACAAUCUUCCCAGGACACAUCCAAAGUGCUACAUGAAAUCCUUGGACAGCUGAAGACAAUAGCACGAGGUGUGAACAGCCUCAGCCUCAACAGCGCCGUGGAUGGCAGAAGAUUCACCAGCGCUGUGGUGGGCAAGGCAGACCCAAACCUUGUGGAAGGCAGGACAGACCCAAUUGCUGUGGUGGGCAGGGCAGAUCCAAAUGCUGUUGAUGGCAGGACAGACCCAAACACUGUGGAUGGCAGGACAGAUCCAAACGCUGUGGUGGGCAGGGCAGACCCAAACUCUGUGGGUGCUGAUACCUUCCAGACGCACUGCAUAGAAGGCAUCGUGGCUGUCCUGGGCUCAAUUCUGCUGGGGAUGGCAUUGUAUUGUGUAUUCCACUUGUGGAGGAAGAGGAGAAAGCGCCUCGCAGCUUCGAGAGCCGGCUCUGAGCGCCCCAACAGCCGGGCAGAAGCCAGCAGAAUAUUUGCAGGAGCGUUUAAAUAAAGAUCAGCAGCACAAUCGACUGGAUUGUACUGGCAGCAAACCCAG
Molecule: long non-coding RNA, 1062 nt
Filed under: Manacus vitellinus (golden-collared manakin)
Lineage: Eukaryota; Metazoa; Chordata; Aves; Passeriformes; Pipridae
Description: lncRNA (ENSMVIG00005010176.1)
Source: RNAcentral